Long non-coding RNA from Papaver somniferum (opium poppy), 2421 nucleotides. RefSeq lists it as uncharacterized. The record is from RefSeq and is a predicted model, not a curated record. NCBI's taxonomy places the organism in Eukaryota, Viridiplantae, Streptophyta, Magnoliopsida, Ranunculales, Papaveraceae. The transcript has 11 exons.
AUCUUUUCAAUUGUUGUUUUCGAACUUUUUAAGAACUCUCUCUAGCUUCUACAUCUUUAUCCUUUUUCGAUUUCAAUCUUUCGAUUUUGCAUUAUAUUGGGUCAACCACACCUAACAAAGAAUUGGGUCUUGUCAUUAUGGUUUGUUCAGUUUAUAAUGAUUGAUCCGACUAUAAAAUCUCGUCUCUUCCUAAUUCUCCUUUUCAGGUAUUGGCCAAGGAGAUUAGAAAUGAUGUUAAUGUAUAAAAAGGGUCUUAUCAAGAUGGAAAUUGAUGAAAAGAAUCGGGAUUCUCAUUCGGUUUCUUUCACCUUUGAUGCCUUGGUUGAUAGCAGAUCCCAGGAGCAGAAUCACUUGUAGUCAGACCUGUCUUCUGCCGAUAAAAAGUUGGAAGUGAAGCAGCAUAUUUUGGAAAUAUUUCAAGAAGACAGUUAUCCUUCAGCAUUUCCUAACACAUCCAAGGUAGUUCUGUUGUUUCAUGAGAUUGAGGGCGUAGACUGUGCCUUUUUUGGCAUGUAUGUUCAGGAGUUGGAUUCUCUCCUGAUCAGGUGCUUGGCUAUGGUUAGGAGAGCUUCGAAGGAGAACAUUGUGGCUGAGCUCACUGACGUGUAUGACAUUUCUUUAUCUCUACUGGAGAAUGCAAGACAAAGGUUGGACGGUGAUUACUUGCCUGGUGCCGCCGAAGAUACGAUCAAUCAAUUCCGACAAGAAGAGGACGGGAGAAAACUACAAAAGAUAGGGAACACGAAAAAAAACUUAUCACAAACUGAUCUUUCUACAAAUGCUUCAAAAGCUGUCCUUUUAAUGCAAAAAGUAAUUUAUUCCCCAAGUGCUGCCACAGCUUGGUGAGACCAUAAGCCCAUUUAAAGAAGAUCUUAUAAUGGUACACCUGCAACAUUCUUGCAAUCGUUGUUCUUAUCUAACAGUAUCUGGAAACCAUUGGGUUUGCAAAAUUGCAUCAAUUGCAAAAAAAAAAAUGUCAUCUUUGCAACUAAUGUUUUGACUAUGGCCUUCCUGUACUUUCCAAAUGGUUUCCAAUAUGUUCUUCAUGCAAACCUUGUUAUCAUGGGGUAUAGUAGGGGCAAUGUUCGGUGCAGCGUUUGGGUGUUGGAAAAAUGAGUCUUCAGGAAAAAAAGGAUUUAGUUUUGAUGGCUGUGUUGUGAGUCUUGUGAUGUUCCUUGCUAUAAUACUCGUAGCUUUUUCUUCACUGCCUUCCCUCAUAGUUAGUGGAACUAUGAUUGUGGGAUUUGGAGUUGGAAUGAUUUCCAUGACUUCAUCUCUAAAGAUAUUAGAGGCUUCUUCUCUCAGACUCCGAAGUUCCUUUGCUAAUUUAGUAGUUUGCAAGCGUUGUUUUACCGUGUCAAUCUACUUUUUUCCAAGGAACAAAGUACUUGGAGUUGCAUGACCGGAGUAGCAGGGGAUUCCAGCUCUAGUUCAGUUUAUGCUAAUGUGGUUCCUUCCUAAGUCCCCGAUGUGGAUCUACAGAAAGAUAGUGGCAGCUGUAGACAGCUCUUUUAAACAAUAAACCUAAGCUAUAUCGUGAUUUUCUUUGAAAAUCGUAAUUAAUGCGGCAGUGCACUCUAUUUUUUGUGAUGUAUUAUUUUUCUAUAAUUUGAUACAAAUUUUCUGGAGAUUAGUGGCCUCGUGCAAAGAAUCAUGCAAAUUGUUGAUGUACCUUGGAUUCAGGACCCUCAGGGUGGAGAUAAUACUGGUUACCUUUUAGGUGCAUUAAAAGAGACUGAGGGUACUGCAAACAUUCCAGGAAGAGAGCCAGAACAAUUUUAAACGGGAAGCAGGUCGCAUUCUUGGUCUUGUGCAUCUGAAGGUUCUGAGCGAUUUCAUCAUCAACUUCCCAUGCUCCUACAUGGAAAUGGACGUUGAGUCGAGUGUUUGUAGCUUCAACCGUCGUAUCCAGGAAAUUAAGGAACUUUUACCACGAGAAAAUCAAGACAAUGAUGACACUGACAUAUGAAAUAAGCACAUCAACCAUUGGAGAAGCUCUAGUGGUGAAGAAUGUGGAAGGCUCUCACCAUAUUGACCCAUAUGUUGACUGUUCUGGGUGACUUACACGUGUCCAUGAGUUCUAGAAACAGCUUAAGUGAUCAAAAUGUUUGCUUUGUCACGGAUCUUCAUGGUAGGAAUGCUUUGGUUACCUGUCCUGAAGAUGAAGAGCGUGUCGUUAACCUGCAUAAGACGAAGGUGAACAGUACUUACUCUGCAUAUUGACGGUUCUGUCACUUGUUGUGUGUUGUCAAGGUCAAUUCAAUCAUGCUCUGACCAGUCAAACAUCCCAUUUUGAAUUAGCAUUUUUUUUAUUGAGAUCAAAAGGGCAAAUUCAAUUAAAAUUUAUACUCUUCAAAGCGAUGAGUGAGAAAGAAAUACAGAAAAAAAAGAAAAAAAAAAUCAGAUGUGACCAGUUACAGA